This 301-nucleotide ribosomal RNA is filed under the name uncultured bacterium. Its description in RNAcentral is "partial 16S ribosomal RNA". It matches the Rfam family "Bacterial small subunit ribosomal RNA", at positions 509 to 807 of the family's 1533-position model. The record is from RNAcentral.
CAGCAGCCACGGUAAUACGUAGGGUGCGAGCGUUAAUCGGAAUUACUGGGCGUAAAGCGUGCGCAGGCGGUUUUGUAAGACAGGCGUGAAAUCCCCGGGCUCAACCUGGGAAUGGCGCUUGUGACUGCAAAGCUAGAGUGCGGCAGAGGGGGAUGGAAUUCCGCGUGUAGCAGUGAAAUGCGUAGAUAUGCGGAGGAACACCGAUGGCGAAGGCAAUCCCCUGGGCCUGCACUGACGCUCAUGCACGAAAGCGUGGGGAGCAAACAGGAUUAGAUACCCGGGUAGUCCCUGUCUCUUAUAC